AAAAAGAUAAGCUAAUUAAGCUACUGGGUUCAUACCCCAUUUAUGAAAGUUUGAAUCUUUCUCUUUUUA
This 69-nucleotide transfer RNA is filed under the name Olenecamptus bilobus. RNAcentral's name for it is "tRNA-Met". It matches the Rfam family "tRNA". Rfam says of the family: Transfer RNA (tRNA) molecules are approximately 80 nucleotides in length. Their secondary structure includes four short double-helical elements and three loops (D, anti-codon, and T loops). The record is from RNAcentral. Lineage: Eukaryota; Metazoa; Arthropoda; Insecta; Coleoptera; Cerambycidae.